RNAcentral lists this unclassified non-coding RNA (262 nucleotides) under Acrodontium sp. RNAcentral's name for it is "partial contains 5.8S ribosomal RNA, internal transcribed spacer 2, and large subunit ribosomal RNA". Lineage: Eukaryota; Fungi; Ascomycota; Dothideomycetes; Mycosphaerellales; Teratosphaeriaceae. RNAcentral also lists the same sequence under 1 other name. The record is from RNAcentral.
AACGCACAUUGCGCCCGUUAGCAUUCUAGCGGGCAUGCCUGUUCGAGCGUCAUUUCAACCCUCAGAACCCCUGUAUUUUUUACGGGGUGUACUGGUGUUGGGGCUCUCUGCGGCUGCCGCAGGCCCUGAAAAACAGUGGCGGGCUCCGCUAUACUCCGAGCGCAGUAAUACUUCUCGCUCAGGGCGUGUAGUGGGGAUCUUGUCUUAAAAAAACUUUUUAAUGGUUGACCUCGGAUCAGGUAGGAAUACCCGCUGAACUUAA